AUGGCUCAGGAUGAACGCUAGCUACAGGCUUAACACAUGCAAGUCGCGGGGCAUCAUGGUGUGUAGCAAUACACACUGAUGGCGACCGGCGGAUGGGUGAGUAACGCGUAUCCAACCUGGCCCUAUCUCGGGCACAGCCCUCGAAAGAGGGAUUAAUUCCCGAUGUCCCACGAGUUCGCAUGUUCUUGUGGGCAAAGGCCUUUGCCGGAUAGGGAUGGGGAUGCGUUCCAUUAGGCAGUCGGCGGGUAACGGCCCACCGAGCCUUCGAUGGAUAGGGGUUCUGAGAGGAAGGCCCCCCACACUGGGACUGAGACACGGCCCAGACUCCUACGGGAGGCAGCAGUGAGGAAUAUUGGUCAAUGGCGGCAACGCUGAACCAGCCAAGUAGCGUGAAGGGAUUACGGCCCUAUGGGUUUUAAACCUCUUUUGUUGGGGAGCAACCUGUGCCACUAGUGGCACACUGCGAGUACCCUUCGAAUAAGCAUCGGCUAACUCCGUGCCAGCCGCAGC
This 510-nucleotide ribosomal RNA is filed under the name uncultured bacterium. Its description in RNAcentral is "bacterial SSU rRNA". It matches the Rfam family "Bacterial small subunit ribosomal RNA", at positions 19 to 518 of the family's 1533-position model. The record is from RNAcentral.